GUGAAUCAUCAAAUUUUUGAACGCAAAUUGCACUCUCCGGUUUUCCGGGAGAUUAUGCCUGUUUGAGGGUCAGCCUAAAAAAAAUCGACAUUGUUGCUGUUUUAUGGUGACUUUCGUCGUAGAUGUGUUAUCUUAAAUCUCGGUUUAAGCGACUUAAAAAUUUUUUUACGAUUCUAUUAAUGUGUCUAUGAUUUUUCUUUUACGUUUAAGGUAUCGUAUGUCUUAUUAGACGGAUCCGUCAUAUCGGUUCGGGUCCAUAAUU
RNAcentral lists this unclassified non-coding RNA (262 nucleotides) under Glomus sp. Its description in RNAcentral is "partial contains 5.8S ribosomal RNA and internal transcribed spacer 2". The stretch from base 1 to 72 matches the Rfam family "5.8S ribosomal RNA", at positions 84 to 154 of the family's 154-position model. Lineage: Eukaryota; Fungi; Glomeromycota; Glomeromycetes; Glomerales; Glomeraceae. The record is from RNAcentral.